This is a non-coding RNA of Lolium perenne, 276 nucleotides long. The record is from RefSeq and is a predicted model, not a curated record. NCBI's taxonomy places the organism in Eukaryota, Viridiplantae, Streptophyta, Magnoliopsida, Poales, Poaceae.
AUCUUUGGUAGAUGAUGCGUGUUAUUCUUCCGCAGAUCAUUAUAUGCGUCCGCACAGUUCAAGCUCAUAUUCUAGAAGGAUGUUGAACUGCGAACCUGAUAGUAAUGAGCUCAUAAAUUUUUCUGCUUCUAGCUCAAGAACUCCUGCUGCAACAUUGCUUCCGCUGCAGGAAAAUUUUCAUGAUGUACACAGACAUGCUGCAAUGCAUAAUCAGUUUUCUGUUUCUAGCUCAAGGAUUCAUUCUGCAAUGCUUCCUCCACUGCAGGCAAACAGAAG